UCAGGCCUAACACAUGCAAGUCGAACGGACUACUUCGGUAGUUAGUGGCGAACGGGUGAGUAAUGCCUAGGAAUCUGCCAUUUAGUGGGGGAUAACGUUCCGAAAGGAACGCUAAUACCGCAUACGUCCUACGGGAGAAAGAGGGGGAUCUUCGGACCUCUUGCUAAAUGAUGAGCCUAGGUCAGAUUAGCUAGUUGGUGAGGUAAAGGCUCACCAAGGCGACGAUCUGUAGCGGGUCUGAGAGGAUGAUCCGCCACACUGGAACUGAGACACGGUCCAGACUCCUACGGGAGGCAGCAGUGGGGAAUAUUGGACAAUGGGCGCAAGCCUGAUCCAGCCAAGCCGCGUGUGUGAAGAAGGCCUUUUGGUUUAAAGCAAAUGAGCGAGGAGGAGGGUACUCUAGUUAAUACCUAGAU
RNAcentral lists this ribosomal RNA (416 nucleotides) under uncultured bacterium. Its description in RNAcentral is "bacterial SSU rRNA". It matches the Rfam family "Bacterial small subunit ribosomal RNA", at positions 42 to 473 of the family's 1533-position model. The record is from RNAcentral.